CCCUUAGAUGUUCUGGGCUGCACGCGUGCUACAAUGGCGCUUGCAACAAGUCUUGCCAACCCGAUAGGGUGAGCGGAUCUUUGAAGAGGCGUCGUGAUCGGGACAGUUGAUUGCAAUUAUUCGACUCGAACGAGGAAUUCCUUGUAAUCGCGAUUCAUCAUAUCGCGCUGAAUACGUCCCUGCCCUUUGUACACACCGCCCGUCGCUCCUACCGAUUGAGCGAUCCGGUGAAUGUUUUGGUCUGGCGUCAGAAGCGGUUCGCUCCUGACACUACGAAAUUUUGUAAACCUUAUCGCUUAGAGGAAGGAAAAGUCGUAACA
RNAcentral lists this ribosomal RNA (320 nucleotides) under uncultured eukaryote. RNAcentral describes it as "partial 18S ribosomal RNA". It matches the Rfam family "Eukaryotic small subunit ribosomal RNA", at positions 1470 to 1796 of the family's 1831-position model. The record is from RNAcentral.